UGGGGAAUAUUGGACAAUGGGCGAAAGCCUGAUCCAGCCAUGCCGCGUGGAUGAUGAAGGCCUUAGGGUUGUAAAAUCCUUUCGUUGGGGACGAUAAUGACGGUACCCAAAGAAGAAGCUCCGGCUAACUUCGUGCCAGCAGCCGCGGUAAUACGAAGGGGGCUAGCGUUGUUCGGAUUUACUGGGCGUAAAGCGCGUGUAGGCGGACUUGUAAGUUGGGGGUGAAAUCCCGAGGCUCAACCUCGGAACUGCCUCCAAAACUACAAAUCUGGACCUAAGUAGAGGCAAGUGGAAUUGCGAGUGUAGAGGUGAAAUUCGUAGAUAUUCGCAGGAACACCAGUGGCGAAGGCGACUUGCUGGACUUAUGGUGACGCUGAGACGCGAAAGCGUGGGGAGCAAACAGGAUUAGAUACCCAUGUAGUCCCUGAGCGGGCUGGCAAGGCGCAU
This 447-nucleotide ribosomal RNA is filed under the name uncultured bacterium. RNAcentral's name for it is "bacterial SSU rRNA". It matches the Rfam family "Bacterial small subunit ribosomal RNA", at positions 355 to 825 of the family's 1533-position model. The record is from RNAcentral.